AAGGCAAAGGAAUUUAACGAGGUCAUACAGGAACAGUAUUAUCCUUGGUUUGCACAAUACAUGGUCAUGAAAAGGGCAAGCAUUGAACCAAAUUUCCAUGAUCUGUAUCUGAAGUUCUUUGAUAAAGUAAACUCAAAAUCCUUGAACAAGGAAAUACUGAAAGCCACAUAUGAGAACUGCAAGGUUUUUGUUCUCUCCAAUUCGUCUGCCCUGUUUUUAUUUUUUGCUAGCCAUUUUGUUUAAACUUGGAUACUUUUGCUGCAGGUCUUGUUAAGAUCAAACCUUAUCAAAUCUAGUUCCGAGGAGCGCUCCUUGCUAAAAAACCUAGGCAGUUGGUUGGGAAAGUUCACCAUUGGUAGGAAUCAGGCACUAAGGGCUAAGGAGAUUGAUCCAAAAUCUCUUAUCGUGGAGGCAUAUGAGAAAGGAUUGAUGAUUGCGGUCAUACCAUUCACUUCAAAGAUCCUUGAACCUUGCCAGUCAAGUAUCGCAUAUCGACCUCCAAAUCCCUGGACCAUGGGAAUUCUAAGUCUACUUGCUGAAAUUUAUAAUCUUCCAAACCUCAAGAUGAAUCUGAAAUUUGAUAUUGAGGUCCUCAACAUUCCUUUUUUUGAUAGUUUCUUUAUUGACUUUGUAUCUGCCCUAGCUACCCAUGGCCAUGCUAAAUGUUCUUUUGGGAUUUCAGGUGCUAUUAAGAACCUUACUGUUGACAUAAAGGAUGUGAAACCAACUUCCCUGCUCAAAGAUCGUCUGCGCGAAGUCGAGGGAAAUCCAGAUUUUUCAAAUAAAGAUGUUACUGCAUCUCAAACCCCUGUGGUUGCAGAAGUCCCUUCAGGGACCAUCCCUUCACUAACUCAUAUGGAACAACAACCUGAGGUCAAUAUCACAUCCCGAGCUAUGAGCCUUCCAAAUAUACUUAAUCAGUAUGCUGCUCCUGUCCGUCUACCUACAAACAGCACGGUAGAAGAUGACAAAGUUGCUCUGAUGAUGCCUGAGCAAGUGCCCUCGUUGACCCAGGUUUCGCCAGCACAAACACAAUCAACAUCACCAUCUCCAUUUUCUGUUAACCAGGUUAACUUAAUGUUUUAACUGCUAUUUUUUAUCUAAACAGCUAGAUUAUGUUAUAUGAUUUUUUCAUUUGUGAUAUGUAGCUUAUGGCAGCUAUUCCACGAGAAGAGAUACGUUUCAAAAUAAAUCCAAAGGUCGGCUCCCUUGGUCCAUAACUGCAAUAUAGCAAGUAUGCCUCCAAGUUUCUGAAAGGAAUUUGUUAUAUUUCAUUUCGUAUUUAAUCUGAACUUCUUUUGUUGCUGAUAAAUUACUUGCUUUAUCUAGAAUUAUGGAUUUGGUUUUGGAUAAGGCUAACAGGGAGAUAAUACUCCCUGUUAUUCAAAGAAGUGUGACCAUAGCAAGCUGAACUACAAAAGAACUUAUUCUGAAGGAUUAUGCACUGGAGUCUGAUAACAAUACGAUAACUCGAUCCGCACAUUUGAUGGUUGGAACAUUAGCCGGAAGUCUGGCACAUGUUACUUGCAAGGAACCUCUUCGUGUUGCACUAUAUUCUAAUCUUCGGAAUCUCAUUCAGAACCUUAUGAGCGGCAGUGAAACUAUCGAGCAACUUAUUCACACGCUAAUCAAUGAUAACUUGGAUCUUGGCUGUGCCAUCAUUGAGGCUGUGGCAACA
Zea mays is the source of this 1678-nucleotide RNA transcript. It is a transcript of the gene named CCR4-NOT transcription complex subunit - DUF3819 pseudogene, with no coding region annotated. The record is from RefSeq and is marked validated. Lineage: Eukaryota; Viridiplantae; Streptophyta; Magnoliopsida; Poales; Poaceae. The transcript has 7 exons.